This 697-nucleotide long non-coding RNA is filed under the name Coffea arabica (coffee). RNAcentral's name for it is "long non-coding RNA (CARA_LNC005454)". Lineage: Eukaryota; Viridiplantae; Streptophyta; Magnoliopsida; Gentianales; Rubiaceae. The record is from RNAcentral.
UAGAUGCUCAUAUUCCAAGGAUCACUUUAUGAAAAUGAUCGGAUCUUUACCUUACCUUGUGCACUACCCCUUCGGAUGGUACGAGAAAGGUAAACGUGCAAGUCUCAUUUGGAUUAUAUAUCCGAGACAUGGGGUGGUUCAUUCCUAACACGGGAUCCCCUAAAUGGCAUUCCCUUUCUAGGGUUUAUGCAUGAUGCCAUUUUAUUAAAGCGAUAUAAACAUGUGACAAACAUGGCCUAAAGGAUAUGAAUAAUGCAUCGGGGGAAAAGGUCUAAAAUGACAUGUACUUAUCGAAAAUUCAAUGUAAUGACUGAAAUUUAAACAUGUGAGCUAUCUAGUGGGUAAGUCACUAAAAGAGUGCCAAAGAGGCCUCUUAUUGCUAAGGCAUAUGAAUGCAAGCCAAGAAAACACAAGAAUGGUUAGUGCAAUUGAUAAUACACAUAACACAUUGGGAGCAAUUAAGAAAAAGAAAUACAAUAAAGCAAGUAAAAGGGGUGGAACCCCCUCCCUCGUGCCUAAUGUGCUUAAAAGGGUGAGGCUGACUCUAACCUAGGCAAACUUUAACAUGGAUGCAUGAGGCUGGGGCUCACUAAUGCAACUAGACUCGAUAAGGUUUCGGCUCCCAAGCCUUCAGACCUAAAGGCGAAGGGUCAUCACUCCCAGGGCCUUUGAUCGGUGGCUCGAGUGAUCCCUUAGG